UGAGUAACCUGCCCUUAACUCUGGGAUAAGCCUGGGAAACUGGGCCUAAUACCGGAUAUGACUCCUCAUCGCAUGGUGGGGGGUGGAAAGCUUUAUUGUGGUUUUGGAUGGACUCGCGGCCUAUCAGCUUGUUGGUGAGGUAAUGGCUCACCAAGGCGACGACGGGUAGCCGGCCUGAGAGGGUGACCGGCCACACUGGGACUGAGACACGGCCCAGACUCCUACGGGAGCAG
This 233-nucleotide ribosomal RNA is filed under the name uncultured bacterium. RNAcentral describes it as "partial 16S ribosomal RNA". It matches the Rfam family "Bacterial small subunit ribosomal RNA", at positions 118 to 347 of the family's 1533-position model. The record is from RNAcentral.